UACGUAGGGUGCAAGCGUUAAUCGGAAUUACUGGGCGUAAAGCGUGCGCAGGCGGUCGUGCAAGACAGAGGUGAAAUCCCCGGGCUUAACCUGGGAACUGCCUUUGUGACUGUACGGCUGGAGUGCGGCAGAGGGGGAUGGAAUUCCGCGUGUAGCAGUGAAAUGCGUAGAUAUGCGGAGGAACACCGAUGGCGAAGGCAGUCCCCUGGGCCUGUACUGACGCUCAUGCACGAAAGCGUGGGGAGCAAACAGG
Molecule: ribosomal RNA, 253 nt
Filed under: uncultured bacterium
Lineage: Bacteria
Description: partial 16S ribosomal RNA
Rfam family: Bacterial small subunit ribosomal RNA
Source: RNAcentral